AUUGAACGCUGGCGGCAGGCCUAACACAUGCAAGUCGAGCGGAUGAAGGGAGCUUGCUCCUGGAUUCAGCGGCGGACGGGUGAGUAAUGCCUAGGAAUCUGCCUGGUAGUGGGGGAUAACGUCCGGAAACGGGCGCUAAUACCGCAUCCGUUCUGAUGGAGAAAGUGGGGGAUCUUCGGACCUCACGCUAUCUGCUGACCCUAGGUCGGAUUAGCUAGUUGGUGGGGUAAAGGCCUACCAAGGCGACGAUCCGUAACUGGUCUGAGAGGAUGAUCAGUCACACUGGAACUGAGACACGGUCCAGACUCCUACGGGAGGCAGCAGUGGGGAAUAUUGGACAAUGGGCGAAAGCCUGAUCCAGCCAUGCCGCGUGUGUGAAGAAGGUCUUCGGAUUGUAAAGCACUUUAAGUUGGGAGGAAGGGCAGUAAGUUAAUGCCUUGCUGUUUUGACGUUACCAACAGAAUAAGCACCGGCUAACUUCGUG
Molecule: ribosomal RNA, 484 nt
Filed under: uncultured bacterium
Lineage: Bacteria
Description: partial 16S ribosomal RNA
Rfam family: Bacterial small subunit ribosomal RNA
Source: RNAcentral